GCAGUCGACGAUGACCACUUCRGUGGGGAUUAGUGGCGAACGGGUGAGUAACACGUGGGCAAUCUGCCCUUCACUCUGGGACAAGCCCUGGAAACGGGGUCUAAUACCGGAUACCACUACCGCAGGCAUCUGUGGUGGUUGAAAGCUCCGGCGGUGAAGGAUGAGCCCGCGGCCUAUCAGCUUGUUGGUGAGGUAAUGGCUCACCAAGGCGACGACGGGUAGCCGGCCUGAGAGGGCGACCGGCCACACUGGGACUGAGACACGGCCCAGACUCCUACGGGAGGCAGCAGUGGGGAAUAUUGCACAAUGGGCGAAAGCCUGAUGCAGCGACGCCGCGUGAGGGAUGACGGCCUUCGGGUUGUAAACCUCUUUCAGCAGGGAAGAAGCGAAAGUGACGGUACCUGCAGAAGAAGCGCCGGCUAACUACGUGCCAGCAGCCGCGGUAAUACGUAGGGCGCAAGCGUUGUCCGGAAUUAUUGGGCGUAAAGAGCUCGUAGGCGGCUUGUCACGUC
Molecule: ribosomal RNA, 512 nt
Filed under: Streptomyces sp. MS 45
Lineage: Bacteria; Bacillati; Actinomycetota; Actinomycetes; Kitasatosporales; Streptomycetaceae
Description: bacterial SSU rRNA
Rfam family: Bacterial small subunit ribosomal RNA
Source: RNAcentral